CAAAGAGAAAAUGCUUAAAAUAUUUUUUUCACUUCCAUUUACAGAUGAGCACAUGCAGGAACAGGGCUCAGCUGUGCACACAUUUCUGGGGAGUGACUUCAACACUGUGGGACAAGCCAUCACCUUUGGAUGGAAGUGCAGAGAACAAGAGAAGAGUGGCUUGCCCACAUUUAGCCCGCUGCCAGUGCCCUCACUGUGGGUGAACUUGGGGUGGGCAGUGUUGAACAGCAGUGGAGUGUGCUUUCACCUUCCAUGACCUCCUGUCUCCACCUUCUUAUUAAAAAUGUAUUUUGCAUAGCAAUUUCAAAAUUAUAUUUUUAACUUCCAAGAGUUCUGUCUUGGGCACUGAUUUCUUCUUUUUUAAAAACCAUUCUGUUCUUGUUUUCAGGGGCCACCCCUCUUCUCCAGAGC
This 411-nucleotide long non-coding RNA is filed under the name Fukomys damarensis (Damara mole-rat). RNAcentral's name for it is "lncRNA (ENSFDAG00000028886.1)". The record is from RNAcentral. Lineage: Eukaryota; Metazoa; Chordata; Mammalia; Rodentia; Bathyergidae.